GACGAACGCUGGCGGCGUGCUUAACGCAUGCAAGUCGAACGGUGAAGCUCCAGCUUGCUGGCGUGGAUCAGUGGCGAACGGGUGAGUAACACGUGAGCAACCUGCCCCAGACUCUGGAAUAAGCGCUGGAAACGGCGUCUAAUACUGGAUACGAGAUCAAGCCGCAUGGUUAUGGUCUGGAAAGUUUUUCGGUUUGGGAUGGGCUCGCGGCCUAUCAGCUUGUUGGUGAGGUAAUGGCUCACCAAGGCGACGACGGGUAGCCGGCCUGAGAGGGCGACCGGCCACACUGGGACUGAGACACGGCCCAGACUCCUACGGGAGGCAGCAGUGGGGAAUAUUGCACAAUGGGCGAAAGCCUGAUGCAGCGACGCCGCGUGAGGGAUGACGGCCUUCGGGUUGUAAACCUCUUUCAGCAGGGAAGAAGCGAAAGUGACGGUACCUGCAGAAGAAGCACCGGCUAACUACGUG
RNAcentral lists this ribosomal RNA (468 nucleotides) under uncultured bacterium. RNAcentral describes it as "partial 16S ribosomal RNA". It matches the Rfam family "Bacterial small subunit ribosomal RNA", at positions 28 to 507 of the family's 1533-position model. The record is from RNAcentral.